RNAcentral lists this transfer RNA (72 nucleotides) under Camelus bactrianus (Bactrian camel). It matches the Rfam family "tRNA". From Rfam's summary of the family: Transfer RNA (tRNA) molecules are approximately 80 nucleotides in length. Their secondary structure includes four short double-helical elements and three loops (D, anti-codon, and T loops). Lineage: Eukaryota; Metazoa; Chordata; Mammalia; Artiodactyla; Camelidae. The record is from Rfam by way of RNAcentral. RNAcentral also lists the same sequence under 2 other names.
GAGGGUAUAGCUCAGUGGUAGAGUGAAUGCCCAGCAUGCAUGAGGUCCUGAGUUCAAUCCCUAGCACCUCCA